AGGGAGUUGCAUCCUGACUUUGCCCACUAGAGGAGGACUGCAGACGCUGGGGCCUGUGCCGAAGGGUACAUCAGAUUCAGAACAGAAAGGAUCUGAAGCUCUCAGGAUUCAAGGUUAUCUUCCAUUUAUUGACUCACCCGGAGAUGAUGGAGCCUGAUCUACUGUAGAACCUGAGUGCAUCAAGACAGUGUUUGCUCCAUGCAUUUUCAGGACUUCUGCAGAAGUUGAUGCAAAGGAGAGCAAGAGGAUACAGAUAUUUCUGUAAAUUUUUUGCACCUCUCCAUUACUACGU
Molecule: long non-coding RNA, 292 nt
Filed under: Cyanistes caeruleus (blue tit)
Lineage: Eukaryota; Metazoa; Chordata; Aves; Passeriformes; Paridae
Description: lncRNA (ENSCCEG00000012512.1)
Source: RNAcentral